Molecule: long non-coding RNA, 215 nt
Filed under: Elaeis guineensis (African oil palm)
Lineage: Eukaryota; Viridiplantae; Streptophyta; Magnoliopsida; Arecales; Arecaceae
Description: long non-coding RNA (EGUI_LNC050235)
Source: RNAcentral
ACUACAAUUCUUGAUGUAGGAUGUAUCAUUUGAAAGAAAAAUUGGCAAUUCAUAGCAUACAUUUUUUAAAAAUUUUUAGUGAAAGACUACAGAUUAAACAUUUUAAUCUAAUUGCAUGCCCUAGAUUUGAUCUAAAAACUAUCAAAUAAAAAUCAUAUGACAUGAAUAAAUACAACAUCUGAAUUUAAAUAAAUGAUCAUAUCAAUUUUGCAAUC